Non-coding RNA from Caranx melampygus (bluefin trevally), 67 nucleotides. NCBI's taxonomy places the organism in Eukaryota, Metazoa, Chordata, Actinopteri, Carangiformes, Carangidae. The record is from the annotation of a GenBank genome assembly.
GGGCUAGUGGCACAAUGGAUAACACGUCUGUCUAGUAAGAUUCUAGGUUCGACUCCUGGCUAGUUUG